Molecule: ribosomal RNA, 468 nt
Filed under: uncultured bacterium
Lineage: Bacteria
Description: partial 16S ribosomal RNA
Rfam family: Bacterial small subunit ribosomal RNA
Source: RNAcentral
GACGAACGCUGGCGGCGUGCUUAACACAUGCAAGUCGAACGGAAAGGCCCUGCUUUUUUGGUGUGCUCGAGUGGCGAACGGGUGAGUAACACGUGAGUAACCUGCCCUAGACUUUCGGAUAACUUCAGGAAACUGGGGCUACUCUCGGAUAGGAUCUCCUGCUGCAUGGUGGGGAUUGGAAAUUUCGGGCGGUUGGGGAUGGAUUCGCCGAUGAUCACCUUGCUGGUUGGGUAGUGGUAUACCAAGGGUUUGACGGGUCGCCGGCCUGGGAGGGUGAACGGGCUCCUGGCGACUGAGAUACGGAGCAGUCUCCUACGGGAGGCAGCAGGGGGGAAUAUUGCACAACGGGCGGAAGCCUGUUGAAGCAGCGCCGCGUGCGGGAUGACGGCCUUCGGGUUGUAAACCGCUUUCGCCUGUGACGAAGCGUUAGUGACGGUAAUGGGUAAAGAAGCACCGGCUAACUACGUG